CCGACGGUGAGGGGUGAAAGCUGGGGGAGCAAACCGGAUUAGAUACCCGGGUAGUCCCAGCUGUAAACGAUGCAAACUAGGUGAUGCGUUGGCUUUUUGCUAGCGCAGUGCCUCAGGGAAGCCGUUAAGUUUGCCGCCUGGGAAGUACGUACGCAAGUAUGAAACUUAAAGGAAUUGGCGGGGGAGCACCACAAGGGGUGAAGCCUGCGGUUCAAUUGGAGUCAACGCCUGAAACCUUACCCGGAGAGACAGCAGAAUGAAGGUCAAGCUGAAGACUUUACCAGACAAGCUGAGAGGUGGUGCAUGGCCGUCGCCAGCUCGUGCCGUGAGAUGUCCUGUUAAGUCAGGUAACGAGCGAGAUCCCUGCCCUUAGUUGCCACUAUUACUCUCAGGAGUAGUAGGGCGAAUUAAGGGGACCGCCGCAGUUAAUGCGGAGGAAGGAAGGGGCCACGGCAGGUCAGUAUGCCCCGAAACUCUGGGGCCACACGCGGGCUGCAAUGGUAACGACAAUGAGUUCCAAAAUCGAAAGAUAGAGGUAAUCUCUAAACGUUACCACAGUUAUGAUUGAGGGCUGCAACUCGCCCUCAUGAAUAUGGAAUCCCUAGUAACCGCGUGUCAUUAUCGCGCAGUGAAUACGUCCCUGCUCCUUGCACUCACCGCCCGU
Molecule: ribosomal RNA, 664 nt
Filed under: uncultured archaeon
Lineage: Archaea
Description: bacterial SSU rRNA
Rfam family: Archaeal small subunit ribosomal RNA
Source: RNAcentral